GGGGGUGUAGUUCAGUAGUAGAGCAUGUGCUUAGCAUGCACACAACACCCUGGGUUCAAUCUCCAGCACCAUCA
Molecule: non-coding RNA, 74 nt
Organism: Ictidomys tridecemlineatus (thirteen-lined ground squirrel)
Lineage: Eukaryota; Metazoa; Chordata; Mammalia; Rodentia; Sciuridae
Source: Rfam